AUUUUGUCGUGGAUGGUACAGUGGCAUUGAACUUUUAAUGCUUUCAUAGUAGAAUUGCGAAAGUAGAGAUAGUUGUAACCGUGUAAGUUAAUCUCAUGGUACCGGUACCCUGAGUGCGUUGUCAGGUCACGGUUCAUAAGGGUGAUACGGUACCAUACCGGUAAAAGUUACAUAUUCCGUAUCCCUGGACACCGUAGGUACCGGUAACUAACGACAGAACGAAAUGAGGCCCUAUGACAAUGGACUGGAAAAUUAACCUGCUUCAAUACCAUCUUUCACGCAAUCAUACACUGUGUCAUUUCAAGCAUCUCAAUGUUUCAAUGCGGACAAUGCCCAAAACAGAUAAGAUAUUUGUCAAGUCUCGGAGGUUACUUCAAGAAAGACUGGAUUGAAGAAUCAUGAGCUCAGUUAUAACAAAUUUACUCGCCCGCUCUUUCAACUGUGCAGGACGCGGUGAUUAAGAAGGAGUGAGUGGGACGCCCUUAGUUUCUGCUAUUAAAGCUCUGGAUGAUCUGGCAACGAACUCCGAUUAAUUUUAUUACAUGUAUACAUAUUUGUAAAAUAAAGACAUUUUGUUA
Molecule: non-coding RNA, 578 nt
Organism: Styela clava
Lineage: Eukaryota; Metazoa; Chordata; Ascidiacea; Stolidobranchia; Styelidae
Source: RefSeq, a predicted model, not a curated record